Molecule: long non-coding RNA, 1666 nt
Organism: Rana temporaria (common frog)
Lineage: Eukaryota; Metazoa; Chordata; Amphibia; Anura; Ranidae
Exons: 2
Source: RefSeq, a predicted model, not a curated record
GACUGAGAGUUUUUAUAUGCUGCCCAUAGAAACUGUUCAAUGUUAUCCUAUGUGUACAUGCACAUUUGGGCAUUUAGAGGUGUAUUUCAUGAGGAGAGAAGUUCUCAAGCUGGAAAUCUUAUGGAAAAAAAUGCUUAUAAAGCAAAUGCCUAUAUAUUCUCCUAAACUCUUGUGCAAUACAAACCACUAUGAGCAUUUUUUUUGCCGCUUUUACUGCCAGAGGUUUGAGCAUUUUUUUCUGCUCCUAAAGUGCAUGGCCUCCAAAGGUUGGACUAUAAUCAGGAUCUUUUUCUAUACAAAUUCAGAUGUGGUUAUAACAAGGACUGUUCUGUUCAUAUACAGGCAGGACUAUACCUGUAACUGUCUAUACAUAUUUAGGCAGAACUAUACCAGGGACUGUUGCAUAUAUGUAUACCAACAGGACUUUGCCCUCUACUAUUAUGUGUAGAUGUAAAUUGAAAUAUACCAGAAACUGCAAUAUAUAGUUACACGCAGGACUAUGCCAGGGAUGGUGGAAUAUUGGUACAGUUAGGACUAUGCCAGCGAUGGUGGAAUAUUGAUACAGGUAGGACUAUGUCGGGGAUAGUGGAAUAUUGAUACAGGUAGGACUAUGUCAGGAGUGUUGUAAUAUUGAAACAGGUAGGACUAUGUCAGGGAUGGUGGAAUAUUGAUACAGGUAGGACUAUGCCAGGGAUGGUGGAAUAUUGAUACAGGUAGGACUAUGUCAGGAUAGUGGAAUAUUGAUACAGGUAGGACUAUGUCAGGAGUGUUGUAAUAUUGAAACAGGUAGGACUAUGUCAGGGAUGGUGGAAUAUUGAUACAGGUAGGACUAUGCCAGGGAUGGUGGAAUAUUGAUACAGGUAGGACUAUGUCAGGGAUGGUGGAAUAUUGAUACAGGUAGGACUAUGUCAGGGAUGGUGGAAUAUUGAUACAGGUAGGACUAUGCCAGGGAUGGUGGAAUUAUGAUACAGGUAGGACUAUGCCAGGGAUGGUGGAAUAUUGAUACAGGUAGGACUAUGUCAGGGAUGGUGGAAUAUUGAUACAGGUAGGACUAUGCCAGGGAUGGUGGAAUAUUGAUACAGGUAGGACUAUGCCAGGGAUGGUGGAAUAUUGAUACAGGUAGGACUAUGCCAGGGAUGGUGGAAUAUUGAUACAGGUAGGACUAUGUCAGGGGUGGUGGAAUAUUGAUACAGGUAGGACUAUGUCAGGAGUUGUGGAAUAUUGAUACAGGUAGGACUAUGUCAGGAAUGGUGGAAUAUUGAUACAGGUAGGACUAUGUCAGGAGUGGUGGAAUAUUGAAACAGGUAGGACUAUGCCACGGAUGGUGGAAUUAUGAUACAGGUAGGACUAUGCCAGGGAUGGUGGAAUAUUGAUACAGGUAGGACUAUGUCAGGGAUGGUGGAAUAUUGAUACAGGUAGGACUAUGCCAGGGAUGGUGGAAUAUUGAUACAGGUAGGACUAUGCCAGGGAUGGUGGAAUAUUGAUACAGGUAGGACUAUGCCAGGGAUGGUGGAAUAUUGAUACAGGUAGGACUAUGUCAGGGGUGGUGGAAUAUUGAUACAGGUAGGACUAUGUCAGGAGUGGUGGAAUAUUGAUACAGGUAGGACUAUGUCAGGAAUGGUGGAAUAUUGAUACAGGUAGGACUAUGUCAGGAGUGGUGGAAUAU